CAUAUUCUUCAGCAGAAUUUUGCUUCCCUGGUUCAGUGAAAUAACUCAGCAUGUGCCUCCCUGCUUUUGAUGGAAUUGCUGCUAGCAGAUGUUCAGCCACAUUUCAGAGCUGCAGGCUUUCAGUCUGCUUCUCUGAAUUCUACAGUCUGCAAUAUUUUACUGCGCAUAAAUAUUCCCCCAAGCAGACUCUUCUGCAGAUAAGUAGACAGUUCAUUAGAUUUUAUGUCAUACUUACAGUAUCUGAAGUCUUACAUCUUCAAAACAUUUUAGUAAAAUUUAAUUAAUUAAUAUCUCUGCAAUUAGGAGUGCUCAUGAGAAAAGGUCAUUGACGAUGCACUGCCAAGGCUCCAAGUGGUUAUCACAGCUUCAAAGAGUCAUAAAUGCAUGUUUUCAAAACUCUCUCUUCUCCUCAGACUACUUUGCAUGAUGUUAGGAACACUUAGCUUCACCUUGGGAAAGGAAUACAACCUUUUAAAAGCUUGACAUUUUUGUCAGCAGUGCAUGAGAAAAAUAUAAGUAAAGCUGUUUGAAAAAUUAUGGCUAUGAAAAGUUCCUUUUCUUCUUCAGAGAAAGUUUUUGAAAAAAAAUCUGUUCAUACACUGCUUCAACAUACCUAAGUGAAAAACAUAUGUUUUAAAUAAGCUCACAAAAGUAAUCUUUAGAUUAAGAAUUCUAACUAGAUUCUAAAGAGCUGUCAGAAUAACAGUGGAUUUUUUUGUUUGCCAUAUCGUUCUUAAAUGUAUUCUCCUCAACUGACAAAAAUAUUUCAGCAAUUUUUUAUGCCAGAGUGUGUUUAUCCAAUACACUUGUCCCUUUUAAUAAAACCUAGCUGUGAGUAUAGUUAUGUAAUACAUUUUGCUUAUUUAAGCACUGUUAUGUCAAUGAGUGUGUCAUUUUGAUUGCAUACCCAGUCCCAAAGACCAGUUUUAAUUUGCCAAAGAAUCAGGAGGAGGCUUUUCACUCUCUUAUACACAGACACAAACACACACAAGCAAACAAAAGACAAAAAUCUUUAUAGUUUUGCCCUCCUGUACAGAAGCUUGCAGUAAGUUUCCUGGUCUCAGGAGUGGCACAGCUCAUCCCUCAUCGGAACAAUUUUCCUCUGUGAGGUUUUCCUUGGAGCAGAGUUGUUACUUGACAUUCCCAUGACCACAGCAUACAGACCUGUGAUUCUCUUUCCACAGCCGUGAGAUAUUGCUUCAUCUUCUCUCAUUUCCCACCAGACUCCAACAAGCUGUACAUACAAAGAGAGCCUUCUGAAUCUCAAAUUAUGCAUUUCUUAUGACUACAUUAUCUGGCUAUAUAUAUUUUAUAUAUAUAUGUAUUGAUUUUCAAGAAUAAAAUAGCACAGGAACAGAGCGUUGUGAAGAAAGGCUGCAGAACUGUAAUCUAAAUAUCUGUAUGAACUUCAGGUGUCUUUUGUAAGUCAGCUAGCCCCACAAUGCUGAAUAGAAAGGGUGGAAAUCCAUAUCAAAUGGCAAUAAAAACUUAGAAGUCUACUUAAUGUAAACAAUGUCAGUUUGUUUCUUUUCCUAGGUAUCUUAUCCUUUCAGUGGAUCUAAUGAAGUUAGGGGUAAUUUUUUGUUCCAUUCUUAGGAAGUACAGUCUUGCACAAGCUAGGUUAACACCACCCCCUUCUGUUCACACUGACGCUAAACUCAGUCAGCCACACGUCCAGCACAGGAAAACAUGAGUACUCCAGUAUUAUUUGCAGAGCAAAUAGAACAAAUGGAUCUUACUGCUACAGCUUAAUGAUGUACUUUUAAUGAUAUAUUUUUGAUUAAACUAUUUGGGUCAUUCUUGGAACUAGUUUAUUACAAGAAUAUUUGAAUAGCAACUUAAUAAAGUAUCUAAGAGAGAUUGCAAUUUUGCUUUAAAUUUUUAGCAUGAAAAAAUACAAAGCUUAACUAAUAAAACAUUCAUUUGGAUGUUUGGGAGCAAUUUUUCUUAUCUGCAGUCAUUUUCAUUUCAGUAUGCCUCUUGGAUCCUCUGUCAGAGCAGCAUCUCUCCUGAUUUGAUAUUGUGAAGGUUGCGAGGUGGAAAGAAUCUUACUUUUAUGCCUUCUGCCUUACAGGCUUAUUGUGAUGCAGAGAAAAGGCCUAUUACUAAUACAUUAUACUCAGGUGUACCACGUCUGUUGCCAGCAGUCUUGAUGUCAAGUAAACUGACUCACGAUCAAAGAACCCAAAAUUCUGCCAGUGACACCAGGCUCAGAGGCAAGUAUUGAUUUGCUGGGUCUCUGAUUCCUCCAUAAUCACUGCUUGUGACGGGAAGUAGAACACUGCUCUCAUUUAACCAGUUGUACCAAGCCCCUGAAGUCCCUCUUGGAUUGCCCUUGGAUUUCUUGUUAUAACUUCAUCACUGCCUAACUGAUAAAAAAAUGAACAAUAUGUUUGAUUCUGCCCUGCAUGCUUUGAGGAAAGGCCUCUUAUGUCUGAAACUUUCACCAGUGUCAGGAGUGGCAGGGGGAAGACUGGGACAUCUUUUGUAUCACUCUGUAACUGUAAGCAUUCCACGGGUGCUUCGUGCCCUUUGACUUCAUCAACUGGAUAGACUAAAGAGCAUUUACUAUCUUUUUCAUCCCAUAACCUUCUACUUCCUAGCUGAACACACCCUAAUUCACAAUACAGAAGGACUUUCUCUGAAGAGGCUCACAUGAUAUAUGACAGCUGCACACAGCAAAGCUUGUUGGGAAAUUUUUUUUUUGUCAGCCAGGGAGAUCCAGCCACUGCACAGGUCACUGAGCGAAGAAGCAGAGCCCUCAGCUUUCUGCAUAUGGUAUCAUUAGUCGGUACCAUAACCAGCUGAUGUGGUUGGUUUCAUUGAAGGACUGGGUGUUGGAGCAAUGUAUGUGUAGGAAAGUGAACAAUUUUAUGUUGGAACUGUGAUCAUCUGCUUCUUUUGAUAAGAACCAAAGGCUUUGUAAGAUUAAUAAUAAAAAAAUUAUAGA
Long non-coding RNA from Passer domesticus (house sparrow), 2950 nucleotides. RefSeq lists it as uncharacterized. Lineage: Eukaryota; Metazoa; Chordata; Aves; Passeriformes; Passeridae. The transcript has 3 exons. The record is from RefSeq and is a predicted model, not a curated record.